GGGUAAGUCCAGGAUACAUGCCUCAGUGGGAUAGAUGACUUGAUUUUUAUUUCACUAUGUUAGGAGCACUGUGAGAGUUAAAUUUCUCUAUAAGUAACGAGUCCUCCCCCCACCAACCUCAGUGCCAGGCAGACUGUCGACAGGAGCGCACGCGUUUCGUCCGUGUGAGUAAAAAUCUUCCGCGGCGAGACGACAAAAGGCGCCAAAAUAAGAUUCGAGAGCAAAAUGCCUCGUAAAUAUAAAAGAAAACCGGGUGUUAUCCCUCGCGCUGUUACCUGGACCGAAGAAAGUAUGCUAGCAGCGUUUGAAGAGAUGAAAAAGGGAGACAAGGGUGUAAACACCCUGUGCUAGGGUUUGAUAACGAAAAACGACUUGUGGCUCAUAUAUUCAAAUUAGGAGAAGCUGGAUUUCCGCCGGACCGAACUGCAAUACGUCAGUUAGCAUACCAGUUUGCUAAGAAGCUACAAUUAAACCAUAAUUUCGACGAAGAAACAGAAAUGGCUGGGUAUUCGUGGUUCCAAAGUUUUAUGGAAAGAAAUCCUGGGAUCUGCCUGAGGCAAUCUGAAGGUUUAUCGAUUGCAAGAGCACAAGGUUUAAAUAGGGAGGAAGUUAAAAGCUUUUAUGACUUGUUGACCAAAAUUUUGACGGAAAACGACCUACUUGAUAAACCAGACCGAAUCUUCAAUAUGGAUGAAUCUGGUAUACAACUGAAUAAUAAACCUGGAAAAGUAGUCGCAAAAAAAGGUGUCAGGGUCGUUAAAACUGUGACUUUUGCAGAAAAAGGCGAAACAAUCACCAUCAUCGCUUGUUGUAAUGCUAUUAUUAAUUAUAAUACAAAUAAUUUUCAAUUUAAUUAUCUCCCCCUAUCUUAAGAAUAAUUUAGUCUGAUACCAAAGUUGAUUUUUAUUUUUUAAGAUGAUUAUUACUAAUAUCAAGAAGACUGGAGAAGUAUUAAAGUUCAUGCAAGUUAAUUACUACCUAGUAGUUAGUAAAAGAUGUUGAUUAUUAUUAAAAAAAUAUGUGAUCGUUAAUAGAUGAUAAUGUUUAUGUAUGUUAAAACACAAUAAAGACUGAUUAUUAUAAUAUAGUUGUUUCAUUUCAUAACAAAUCAGUUACAAUGUUUGACUAAGUCGUCAAUCCCCACUAAGGGCACCUAUCCUCACAUCAUUUUUCAUGAUAAGUCUUCUAUCCGCCACAGUAGGCGUCUAUCCUAUUUUUUAGAGGUCCAGCAAAUUACAAUUUAUACAAAAUCUACACAGUCUAUAUCAAAUCGAUUCAGAUAAAAUAAUGCAUUAAGAAAUAUAUUAAAUAUUUCUCAAAGAACACAAUGCUCUAAGAUUAUAAAUUUCGGAAUUAUUAAGCUUUUUCAAAAAGUGUGGCAUCUAUCCUGGACUU
Molecule: long non-coding RNA, 1395 nt
Organism: Trichoplusia ni (cabbage looper)
Lineage: Eukaryota; Metazoa; Arthropoda; Insecta; Lepidoptera; Noctuidae
Exons: 3
Source: RefSeq, a predicted model, not a curated record